Molecule: ribosomal RNA, 562 nt
Filed under: uncultured Acidobacteriota bacterium
Lineage: Bacteria; Pseudomonadati; Acidobacteriota
Description: bacterial SSU rRNA
Rfam family: Bacterial small subunit ribosomal RNA
Source: RNAcentral
ACUCCUACGGGAGGCAGCAGUGGGGAAUUUUGCGCAAUGGGGGAAACCCUGAUGCAGCGACGCCGCGUGAGCGAUGAAGCCCUUCGGGGUGUAAAGCUCUUUCGGCAGGGAAGAUGAUGACGGUACCUGCAGAAGCAGCUGCGGCUAACUACGUGCCAGCAGCCGCGGUAAUACGGGGGGUGCAAGCGUUACUCGGAAUUACUGGGCGUAAAGCGUGCGUAGGUGGUUCGUUAAGUCUGUAGUGAAAUCUCUGGGCUCAACUCAGAGUCUGCUAUAGAAACUGCCGUGCUCGAGUGUGGGAGAGGUGAGUGGAAUUCCCGGUGUAGCGGUGAAAUGCGUAGAUAUCAGGAGGAACACCGGUGGUGUAGACGGCUUUCUGGACCGUAACUGACGCUGAGACACGAAAGCGUGGGUAGCAAACAGGAUUAGAUACCCUGGUAGUCCACGCCCUAAACGAUGCAUAUUUGGUGUGGGCAGUUCAUUCUGUCCGUGCCGGAGCUAACGCGUUAAAUAUGCCGCCUGGGGAGUACAGUCGCAAGGCUGAAACUUAAAGGAAUUGACG